CCAAAGGCCCUUUUCAGGGCCGCCCACAUCUUUCCGUGAAAGAGCU
This is a non-coding RNA of Otolemur garnettii (small-eared galago), 46 nucleotides long. NCBI's taxonomy places the organism in Eukaryota, Metazoa, Chordata, Mammalia, Primates, Galagidae. The record is from Rfam.